UGCCAGCAGCCGCGGUAAUACGGGGGGAGCAAACGUUGUUCGGAAUCACUGGGCGUAAAGGGCACGCAGGCGGCCAGAUUAGUGGAAUGUGAAAUGCCCUGGCUUAACCAGGGAACUGCAUUCCAUACUGUUUGGCUUGAGUAUAGGAGAGGAUGGGGGAAUUCCCGGUGUAGCGGUGGAAUGCAUUGAUAUCGGGAGGAAUACCAGUGGCGAAGGCGCCCAUCUGGCCUAAUACUGACGCUCAGGUGCGAAAGCUGGGGGAGCAAACAGGAUUAGAUA
RNAcentral lists this ribosomal RNA (279 nucleotides) under uncultured bacterium. Its description in RNAcentral is "partial 16S ribosomal RNA". It matches the Rfam family "Bacterial small subunit ribosomal RNA", at positions 506 to 784 of the family's 1533-position model. The record is from RNAcentral.